UACGUAGGGUGCGAGCGUUAAUCGGAAUUACUGGGCGUAAAGCGUGCGCAGGCGGUUCGUUGAGUCAGAUGUGAAAGCCCCCGGCUCAACCGGGGAAUUGCGCCCUAAACUGGACGGCUGGAGUGAGGCAGGGGUGUGUGGAACUUCCGGUGGAGCGGUGAAAUGUGUUGAUAUCGGAAGGAACGCCGGUGGCGAAAGCGACACACUGGGUCUCAACUGACGCUGAGGCACGAAAGCCAGGGGAGCAAACGGG
This 253-nucleotide ribosomal RNA is filed under the name uncultured bacterium. Its description in RNAcentral is "partial 16S ribosomal RNA". It matches the Rfam family "Bacterial small subunit ribosomal RNA", at positions 524 to 776 of the family's 1533-position model. The record is from RNAcentral.